This 107-nucleotide small nucleolar RNA is filed under the name Gossypium hirsutum (cotton). RNAcentral describes it as "Plant small nucleolar RNA R71". It matches the Rfam family "Plant small nucleolar RNA R71". From Rfam's summary of the family: R71 is a member of the C/D box family of snoRNAs containing the C (UGAUGA) and D (CUGA) box motifs. Multiple nearly identical copies of this snoRNA have been identified in Arabidopsis, and it is thought to function as a 2'-O-ribose methylation guide for 18S ribosomal RNA. The record is from Rfam by way of RNAcentral. Lineage: Eukaryota; Viridiplantae; Streptophyta; Magnoliopsida; Malvales; Malvaceae.
AUUCCAUGAUGAGGGCACUUUCGUGAUAACUCUUUGUACCUUUCUCAUGCUUCAUACAGGGACUCAUCAUCCAUUUGUUGGAAGGCACUGAUCUCAUUCCUCAACUU